This 810-nucleotide ribosomal RNA is filed under the name human gut metagenome. RNAcentral describes it as "bacterial SSU rRNA". It matches the Rfam family "Bacterial small subunit ribosomal RNA", at positions 542 to 1357 of the family's 1533-position model. The record is from RNAcentral.
UAUCCGGAUUUAUUGGGUUUAAAGGGUGCGUAGGCGGUUUGAUAAGUUAGAGGUGAAAUUUCGGGGCUCAACCCUGAACGUGCCUCUAAUACUGUUGAGCUAGAGAGUAGUUGCGGUAGGCGGAAUGUAUGGUGUAGCGGUGAAAUGCUUAGAGAUCAUACAGAACACCGAUUGCGAAGGCAGCUUACCAAACUAUAUCUGACGUUGAGGCACGAAAGCGUGGGGAGCAAACAGGAUUAGAUACCCUGGUAGUCCACGCAGUAAACGAUGAUAACUCGUUGUCGGCGAUACACAGUCGGUGACUAAGCGAAAGCGAUAAGUUAUCCACCUGGGGAGUACGUUCGCAAGAAUGAAACUCAAAGGAAUUGACGGGGGCCCGCACAAGCGGAGGAACAUGUGGUUUAAUUCGAUGAUACGCGAGGAACCUUACCCGGGCUUGAAAGUUAGCGACGAUUCUUGAAAGAGGAUUUCCCUUCGGGGCGCGAAACUAGGUGCUGCAUGGUUGUCGUCAGCUCGUGCCGUGAGGUGUCGGCUUAAGUCCCAUAACGAGCGCAACCCCUACCGUUAGUUGCCAUCAGGUGAAGCUGGGCACUCUGGCGGGACUGCCGGUGUAAGCCGAGAGGAAGGUGGGGAUGACGUCAAAUCAGCACGGCCCUUACGUCCGGGGCUACACACGUGUUACAAUGGUAGGUACAGAGGGCAGCUACCCAGCGAUGGGAUGCGAAUCUCGAAAGCCUAUCUCAGUUCGGAUUGGAGGCUGAAACCCGCCUCCAUGAAGUUGGAUUCGCUAGUAAUCGCGCAUCAGCCAUG